This 497-nucleotide ribosomal RNA is filed under the name uncultured bacterium. RNAcentral describes it as "partial 16S ribosomal RNA". It matches the Rfam family "Bacterial small subunit ribosomal RNA", at positions 28 to 507 of the family's 1533-position model. The record is from RNAcentral.
GAUGAACGCUGACGGCGUGCCUAAUACAUGCAAGUCGAGCGAACAGAUAAGGAGCUUGCUCCUUUGACGUUAGCGGCGGACGGGUGAGUAACACGUGGGUAACCUACCUAUAAGACUGGAAUAACUCCGGGAAACCGGGGCUAAUGCCGGAUAACAUUUAGAACCGCAUGGUUCUAAAGUGAAAGAUGGUUUUGCUAUCACUUAUAGAUGGACCCGCGCCGUAUUAGCUAGUUGGUAAGGUAACGGCUUACCAAGGCAACGAUACGUAGCCGACCUGAGAGGGUGAUCGGCCACACUGGAACUGAGACACGGUCCAGACUCCUACGGGAGGCAGCAGUAGGGAAUCUUCCGCAAUGGGCGAAAGCCUGACGGAGCAACGCCGCGUGAGUGAUGAAGGUCUUCGGAUCGUAAAACUCUGUUAUUAGGGAAGAACAAAUGUGUAAGUAACUGUGCACGUCUUGACGGUACCUAAUCAGAAAGCCACGGCUAACUACGUG